Molecule: transfer RNA, 60 nt
Filed under: Gyge ovalis
Lineage: Eukaryota; Metazoa; Arthropoda; Malacostraca; Isopoda; Bopyridae
Description: tRNA-Tyr
Source: RNAcentral
AGCAAGAUGGCCGAAUAUUAGGUGAUAGGUUGUAAACCUUUUUAUGAGUUUUCUCUUGCU